AUGAAGGGUCACAGACCCAGGUGUUCUUUCCUUCUGAUCAAUAUGAGAUUUUUUUUUUCUUCAUGGAUAAUCAUGAUAAGACACAAAAAUGAAGAAAGGAUUUACACACUUAUAUUGAUGGGCAGAGUUCACAGGAGUCAACUGGUGGUGUUACCCUCGUAUGGAAGACCCUAA
RNAcentral lists this long non-coding RNA (174 nucleotides) under Chinchilla lanigera (long-tailed chinchilla). RNAcentral describes it as "lncRNA (ENSCLAG00000028534.1)". Lineage: Eukaryota; Metazoa; Chordata; Mammalia; Rodentia; Chinchillidae. The record is from RNAcentral.